UACGACCAUUUGCAGCGUACACCCCACGGCU
RNAcentral lists this non-coding RNA (31 nucleotides) under Mus musculus (house mouse). Lineage: Eukaryota; Metazoa; Chordata; Mammalia; Rodentia; Muridae. The record is from RNAcentral.